UCUGUGUGUGAUGAUGAAAACAGAUGAUGAGUCUGAUGUAAUCCAUUCUAUUAAACCAUGUUGACAAUCGAGGCAUUUGUCCGAGAGAG
Hordeum vulgare subsp. vulgare (domesticated barley) is the source of this 89-nucleotide non-coding RNA. NCBI's taxonomy places the organism in Eukaryota, Viridiplantae, Streptophyta, Magnoliopsida, Poales, Poaceae. The record is from Rfam.